UCUCCACUUUCCUCAACCUGUAGUAAGGAGGCUCAAUGAGUUCUAUAUCCCUGUCAUGGAUCUAAGUACUGCAUCGAAAAUUGAAGUUUAAUUCUUCCUAAAUCAUCAUCCAGCCUGGCAGGAUCUACAUUUUUUGAAAUCUGGACCCUGAAACCUGCUCUCAACCUAGGCUUGCUGAUGAGUCCAGCCAGCACUCUGCCCUCGUUGUCCAAACAGCUUCUGCAGGACCACCAAACACGUCCCGGGCACAGCCAGCCGUGUGGAGGGCAGCUUUCACCCAGAAAAUGACGCUCCUGCACAUCCAAAGGAACAUGUGACCUCAUUACAAAUUCUUCAUAACCAAUUCUUCGAGGUCACCCAAGAACCCCUGCUUGACGAGGGCCCCAGAUCACCAUGGAUGUACUGGAAUGUCUUGUAGCCUCAUGGCCUGAGACGUGUGAUGCUGCUGGACUUUUCCAGGACCUCAGCGGGGAACCCCACCCCAGAGCCUUCCAUGAAUCAGAGGUCGUCCUUCCAUGCUCCGAGGGCCUCUGUACUUCGGGAACAUCCAUCUGGGUGUCUGUUGCAAGGAGCUACUGUGUCAUCAAAUCACCCAAAAAAGCUGGGGAGCCCAGAACCUGCUGGGGUGAGCACUGGGGGUGUCCCAGCAAUAAGGUACACCCCAAAGAAUGAGGGAAGCAAUAGCUGGAGAAUGGGAGAUAUACAUUCAACCACCGAG
Molecule: long non-coding RNA, 718 nt
Organism: Neomonachus schauinslandi (Hawaiian monk seal)
Lineage: Eukaryota; Metazoa; Chordata; Mammalia; Carnivora; Phocidae
Exons: 3
Source: RefSeq, a predicted model, not a curated record